GGGUUGUGAGGUUAAGCGACUAAGCGUACACGGUGGAUGCCCUGGCAGUCAGAGGCGAUGAAGGACGUGCUAAUCUGCGAUAAGCGUCGGUAAGGUGAUAUGAACCGUUAUAACCGGCGAUUUCCGAAUGGGAAAACCCAGUGUGAUUCGUCACACUAUCAUUAACUGAAUCCAUAGGUUAAUGAGGCGAACCGGGGGAACUGAAACAUCUAAGUACCCCGAGGAAAAGAAAUCAACCGAGAUUCCCCCAGUAGCGGCGAGCGAAUGGGGAGCAGCCCAGAGCCUGAAUCAGUGUGUGUGUUAGUGGAAGCGUCUGGAAAGGCGUGCGAUACAGGGUGACAGCCCCGUACACAAAAAUGCACAUACUGUGAGCUCGAUGAGUAGGGCGGGACACGUGGUAUCCUGUCUGAAUAUGGGGGGACCAUCCUCCAAGGCUAAAUACUCCUGACUGACCGAUAGUGAACCAGUACCGUGAGGGAAAGGCGAAAAGAACCCCGGCGAGGGGAGUGAAAAAGAACCUGAAA
Molecule: ribosomal RNA, 524 nt
Filed under: Escherichia coli
Lineage: Bacteria; Pseudomonadati; Pseudomonadota; Gammaproteobacteria; Enterobacterales; Enterobacteriaceae
Description: partial 23S ribosomal RNA
Rfam family: Bacterial large subunit ribosomal RNA
Source: RNAcentral